This 373-nucleotide ribosomal RNA is filed under the name uncultured bacterium. Its description in RNAcentral is "bacterial SSU rRNA". It matches the Rfam family "Bacterial small subunit ribosomal RNA", at positions 524 to 898 of the family's 1533-position model. The record is from RNAcentral.
UACGGAGGAUGCGAGCGUUAUCCGGAUUUAUUGGGUUUAAAGGGUGCGCAGGCGGGCUUUUAAGUCAGCGGUGAAAUCUGGUCGCUUAACGAUCAAACUGCCGUUGAAACUGGGAGUCUUGAGUAUAGAUGAAGUAGGCGGAAUUCGUUGUGUAGCGGUGACAUGCUUAGAUAUAACGAGGAACUCCGAUUGCGUAGGCAGCUUACUAAACUAUAACUGACGCUCAAGCACGAAAGCGUGGGGAUCAAACAGGAUUAGAUACCCUGGUAGUCCACGCCGUAAACGAUGAUUACUAGUUGUAUGCGAUAUGAUAGUAUGUGACUAAGCGAAAGCGAUAAGUAAUCCACCUGGGGAGUACGCCGGCAACGGUGAA